AUUGAACGCCGGCGGAAUGCUUUACACAUGCAAGUCGAACGGCAGCACGGACUUCGGUCUGGUGGCGAGUGGCGAACGGGUGAGUAAUGUAUCGGAACGUGCCCAGUCGUGGGGGAUAACGUAGUGAAAAUUACGCUAAUACCGCAUACGAUCUAUGGAUGAAAGCGGGGGAUCGCAAGACCUCGCGCGAUUGGAGCGGCCGAUAUCAGAUUAGGUAGUUGGUGGGGUAAAGGCCCACCAAGCCAACGAUCUGUAGCUGGUAUGAGAGGACGACCAGCCACACUGGAACUGCGACACGGUCCAGACUCCUACGGGAGGCAGCAGGGGUGAAUUUUGGACAAUGGGCGAAAGCCUGAUCCAGCGAUUCCGCGUGCAGGAUGAAGGCCCUCGGGUUGUAAACUGCUUUUGUACAGAACGAAAAGGUUUCUACUAAUACUAGGAGCUCAUGACGGUACUGUAAGAAUAAGCACCGGCUAACUACGUGCCAGCCGCCGCCGUAA
Molecule: ribosomal RNA, 500 nt
Filed under: uncultured bacterium
Lineage: Bacteria
Description: partial 16S ribosomal RNA
Rfam family: Bacterial small subunit ribosomal RNA
Source: RNAcentral